GACGAACGCUGGCGGCGUGCUUAACACAUGCAAGUCGAACGGAAAGGCCCUGCUUUUGUGGGGUGCUCGAGUGGCGAACGGGUGAGUAACACGUGAGUAACCUGCCCUUGACUUUGGGAUAACUUCAGGAAACUGGGGCUAAUACCGGAUAGGAGCUCCUGCUGCAUGGUGGGGGUUGGAAAGUUUCGGCGGUUGGGGAUGGACUCGCGGCUUAUCAGCUUGUUGGUGGGGUAGUGGCUUACCAAGGCUUUGACGGGUAGCCGGCCUGAGAGGGUGACCGGCCACAUUGGGACUGAGAGACGGCCCAGACUCCUACGGGAGGCAGCAGUGGGGAAUAUUGCACAAUGGGGGGAAGCCUGAUGCAGAAACGCCGCGUGCGGGAUGACGGCCUUCGGGUUGUAAACCGCUUUCGCCUGUGACGAAGCGUGAGUGACGGUAAUGGGUAAAGAAGCACCGGCUAACUACGUG
RNAcentral lists this ribosomal RNA (468 nucleotides) under uncultured bacterium. RNAcentral's name for it is "partial 16S ribosomal RNA". It matches the Rfam family "Bacterial small subunit ribosomal RNA", at positions 28 to 507 of the family's 1533-position model. The record is from RNAcentral.